CGCGGCCUAUCAGCUUGUUGGUGGAGUAACGGCCCACCAAGGCUUCGACGGGUAGCCGGCCUGAGAGGGUGACCGGCCACACUGGGACUGAGACACGGCCCAGACUCCUACGGGAGGCAGCAGUGGGGAAUAUUGGACAAUGGGCGAAAGCCUGAUCCAGCAACGCCGCGUGAGGGAUGACGGCCUUCGGGUUGUAAACCUCUUUCAGUAGGGACGAAGCGCAAGUGACGGUACCUACAGAAGAAGCACCGGCCAACUACGUGCCAGCAGCCGCGGUAAUACGUAGGGUGCGAGCGUUGUCCGGAAUUAUUGGGCGUAAAGGGCUCGUAGGCGGUUUGUCACGUCGGGAGUGAAAUCUCAGGGCUUAACCCUGAGCCUGCUUCCGAUACGGGCAGACUAGAGGUAUGCAGGGGAGAACGGAAUUCCUGGUGUAGCGGUGAAAUGCGCAGAUAUCAGGAGGAACACCGGUGGCGAAGGCGGUUCUAUGGGCAUUACCUGACGCUGAGGAGCGAAAGUGUGGGGAGCGAACAGGAUUAGAUACCCUGGUAGUCCACACCGUAAACGGUGGGCGCUAGGUGUGGGACUCAUUCCACGAGCUCCGUGCCGCAGCUAACGCAUUAAGCGCCCCGCCUGGGGAGUACGGA
Molecule: ribosomal RNA, 644 nt
Filed under: uncultured Actinomycetes bacterium
Lineage: Bacteria; Bacillati; Actinomycetota; Actinomycetes
Description: bacterial SSU rRNA
Rfam family: Bacterial small subunit ribosomal RNA
Source: RNAcentral